UUUGGCCCGCUCCGCUGAGGCCAGGCCUGUCUAAGGCCCGUAUAAUUCCGGGCCGGGCCGGCCCGAUAGUCAGCUAUGCGCUUGACCUCCCGAAGCUGUCUCCCUCAGCUCUCAACUCUGCUCCGGCGAUUUCUGACGAUUCCGGCGGCGCGAGACUAGAAGAAAAUCGAUUGCGGCCGGCGCCCAUCUCAAGCUCGCAUCGCAUCUCUCUUUCUAUCCGCAUCGCAGAUCUCUCUCGAUCUGUCCCCGUCCGUCCAACUCCUCAACUCUCAGUUUCUCGGUCUCUCUAUGUAUCCAUGGCUGGGAUGGGGUGGACGGGACGCAGCUCUCCUUGUCCAGGAUGGAGUGGACGGGGCACAUGCAUCUCUCUGCCUCUACGAAUUCUGUUGAAUCAUUUUCAGGGAGAGAAAGAGUUUAUGUAAUGAGUAAUUCUGUAGGAAAGUACUACAGCAUUUCCUCUUCUUUUUCCUGCAAUGUUCUCAAUUUGUUAAAUUCAUUCAUUUCUGGACUAUGGAUGUAGAAAUUUGUCUUGUGUUAUUGAAGGUUUGCUCAAUUGCUUUUUACAAGUGUCGGGCAUUUAUCUCUAGGCAUGACACCUGACGUGUUUGUUGUGCUGUUCUUCAAUCAGGUUGAGGGCAUCAAGGAUGGGU
This 650-nucleotide long non-coding RNA is filed under the name Brachypodium distachyon (stiff brome). Its description in RNAcentral is "long non-coding RNA (BDIS_LNC005359)". The record is from RNAcentral. Lineage: Eukaryota; Viridiplantae; Streptophyta; Magnoliopsida; Poales; Poaceae.